AUAAUCAUUUGCCUUUUAAUUGGAGGCUGGUAUGAAUGGUUUGACGAGAGCUAUGCUGUCUCUCCCAAAAUAUUUAAAAAUUAACCUUUAGGUGAAGAGGCCUAAAUUUAUUUAAGGGACAAGAAGACCCUGUUGAGCUUUAGUGAUGUUGUGAACGAUAAAAGAUGAGUUCAUCAUCAAUUUUAUUAUGUAUUUAUUAUAAUAAAAGUUUAUAAAUAAUCUUUAGUUGGGGCGACUGAGGAACAUAUAAAGCUUCCUUAUAUAUAAAAUUAUUUAGGUAAUUAAAUAUUUAAUGCGUAUGUGUUAUUUUGAUCCAAUUUAUUUUGAUUAAAAGAAAAAGUUACCACAGGGAUAACAGCGUAAUCUUUCUGGAGAGAUCUUAUCGAAAGAAGGGUUUGCGACCUCGAUGUUGGACUAAGAUAUCCUAAGGGUGCAGAAGCUCUUGAAGGUUGGUCUGUUCGACCAUUAAAAUCUU
This 475-nucleotide ribosomal RNA is filed under the name Steromphala varia. RNAcentral's name for it is "partial 16S ribosomal RNA". It matches the Rfam family "Bacterial large subunit ribosomal RNA", at positions 1956 to 2597 of the family's 2925-position model. Lineage: Eukaryota; Metazoa; Mollusca; Gastropoda; Trochida; Trochidae. The record is from RNAcentral.